Molecule: ribosomal RNA, 468 nt
Filed under: uncultured bacterium
Lineage: Bacteria
Description: partial 16S ribosomal RNA
Rfam family: Bacterial small subunit ribosomal RNA
Source: RNAcentral
GAUGAACGCUGGCGGCGUGCUUAACACAUGCAAGUCGAACGGUGAAGGCGGAGCUUGCUCUGCUGGAUCAGUGGCGGACGGGUGAGUAACACGUGAGCAAUCUGCCCCUGACUCUGGGAUAAGCGCUGGAAACGGCGUCUAAUACUGGAUACGAGCUGCGAAGGCAUCUUCAGCAGCUGGAAAGAAUUUCGGUCAGGGAUGAGCUCGCGGCCUAUCAGCUUGUUGGUGAGGUAAUGGCUCACCAAGGCGUCGACGGGUAGCCGGCCUGAGAGGGUGACCGGCCACACUGGGACUGAGAGACGGCCCAGACUCCUACGGGAGGCAGCAGUGGGGAAUAUUGCACAAUGGGCGAAAGCCUGAUGCAGCAACGCCGCGUGAGGGACGACGGCCUUCGGGUUGUAAACCUCUUUUAGCAGGGAAGAAGCGAAAGUGACGGUACCUGCAGAAAAAGCGCCGGCUAACUACGUG